AUUCCAGCUCCAAUAGCGUAUAUUAAAGUUGUUGCAGUUAAAAAGCUCGUAGUUGGAUCUCAGGUCCAGGCUCGAGGUCCACCUCGCGGUGGCUACUUCCUGUCCUGACCUACCAUCCGGUUUUCCCUUGGUGCUCUUGAUUGAGUGUCUCGGGUGGCCAGAACGUUUACUUUGAAAAAAUUAGAGUGUUCAAAGCAGGCGCUUCGCCUGAAUAAUGGUGCAUGGAAUAAUGGAACAGGACCUCGGUUCUAUUUUGUUGGUUUUCGGAAGUCGAGGUAAUGAUUAAGAGGGACAGACGGGGGCAUUCGUAUUACGGUGUUAGAGGUGAAAUUCUUGGAUCGCCGUAAGACGAACUACUGCGAAAGCAUUUGCCAAGAAUGUUUUCAUCA
RNAcentral lists this ribosomal RNA (389 nucleotides) under Polyplacophora sp. RNAcentral's name for it is "partial small subunit ribosomal RNA". It matches the Rfam family "Eukaryotic small subunit ribosomal RNA", at positions 582 to 975 of the family's 1831-position model. Lineage: Eukaryota; Metazoa; Mollusca; Polyplacophora. The record is from RNAcentral.